This 484-nucleotide ribosomal RNA is filed under the name uncultured bacterium. RNAcentral describes it as "partial 16S ribosomal RNA". It matches the Rfam family "Bacterial small subunit ribosomal RNA", at positions 30 to 507 of the family's 1533-position model. The record is from RNAcentral.
AUUGAACGCUGGCGGCAGGCUUAACACAUGCAAGUCGAGCGGGGAAGGUAGCUUGCUACCGGACCUAGCGGCGGACGGGUGAGUAAUGCUUAGGAAUCUGCCUAUUAGUGGGGGACAACAUCUCGAAAGGGAUGCUAAUACCGCAUACGUCCUACGGGAGAAAGCAGGGGAUCUUCGGACCUUGCGCUAAUAGAUGAGCCUAAGUCGGAUUAGCUAGUUGGUGGGGUAAAGGCCUACCAAGGCGACGAUCUGUAGCGGGUCUGAGAGGAUGAUCCGCCACACUGGGACUGAGACACGGCCCAGACUCCUACGGGAGGCAGCAGUGGGGAAUAUUGGACAAUGGGGGGAACCCUGAUCCAGCCAUGCCGCGUGUGUGAAGAAGGCCUUAUGGUUGUAAAGCACUUUAAGCGAGGAGGAGGCUACUUUAGUUAAUACCUAGAGAUAGUGGACGUUACUCGCAGAAUAAGCACCGGCUAACUCUGUG